This 261-nucleotide ribosomal RNA is filed under the name Leptolaimus sp. 63L28G15. Its description in RNAcentral is "partial 18S ribosomal RNA". It matches the Rfam family "Eukaryotic small subunit ribosomal RNA", at positions 158 to 415 of the family's 1831-position model. The record is from RNAcentral. Lineage: Eukaryota; Metazoa; Nematoda; Chromadorea; Plectida; Leptolaimidae.
CUAGAGCUAAUACACGCACACAUGCUCCGACCGCAAGGGACGAGCGCAUUUAUUAGAACAAAACCGAUCGGACUUCGGUCUGCUUCGUUUGUGACUCUGAAUAACUUUGCUGAUCGUACGGUCUUCGUACCGACGACGCAUCUUUCAAGUGUCUGCCUUAUCAACUGUCGAUGGUAGGUUUUACGCCUACCAUGGUUGUGACGGGUAACGGAGAAUAAGGGUUCGACUCCGGAGAGGGAGCCUGAGAAACGGCUACCACAU